This 1548-nucleotide long non-coding RNA is filed under the name Homo sapiens (human). RNAcentral's name for it is "HSALNT0354925". The record is from RNAcentral. Lineage: Eukaryota; Metazoa; Chordata; Mammalia; Primates; Hominidae.
CUGGUCUGAUUUUUAAAAAAGAGCCCUCCAUUAAUGAAAGAUGUUCACAACAGGGGAAACUGGGAGGGGGUUGGGGAGAUGAAGGGAUAUACGGGAACUCUCUAUUUUCUGCUGAAUUUUUCUGUAAACCUGAAACUGCUAAAAAAAUAAAGUCUACUAAUGUGCUUAAAAAAUCAUGAGUUCAUAUUGACACUUCUAAUUUAAAUUCAGGAUCACCAUGUUUUUACUUAGCCUUGUCUGUUCUUUCUCCCAUGAGAAAUGCCCUUUCUUUUCAGUUCCCAGUGAAAGAUAAACUCAUCUGUUGAGUCUGACCCACUUCACACUCUCAGAUAAGAAUGCCAGUACUAUCAUGUCUUAGUCCAUCUGGGCAGCUGUAACAAAAUACCUUAGACUGGAUAAUUUGUAAAUAAUAAAAACUUAUUGCUCAAGUUCUGGAGGCUGGAAGUCCAAGAUCAAGGCCCAGCAGAUUUGGUGUCUGGUGAGGGUUUGCUCUCUGCUUCAAAGAUGGCGCCUUUGGCUGGGCACCUUGGCUGGCGCCUGUAAUCCCAGCAUUUUGGGAGGCUGAAGCAGGUGGAUCACUUGAGGUCAGGAAUUUGAGACCAGCCUGGGCAACAUGGUGAAACCCCAUCUCUAGUUAAAAAAAACACACAAAAAUCAGCCCAGCUUGGUUGUGCGCACCUGUAAUCCCAGCUACACAGGAGGCUGAGGCACGAGAAUCGCUUGAGGCCAGGAGGUGGAGGUUCCAGUGAGCUGACAUUGCGCCACUGCACUCCAGCCUGGGCAACAGAGUGAGAUCUUGUCUCCAAAAAACAAAAUCAAAAACAAACAAAAACAAAAAACAAAGAUGGCACCUUCUAGCUGUGUCCUAACAUGGUGCAAGGGCAAAGGGACGAACAAGCUCCCCCAGAAGAGCACUAAUCUGAUUCAUGAGGGCAGAGUCUUUAUGACCUCAUCACCUCCUAAAGGCCCCACCUCUUAAUACCACAUCAGAUUAGGUUUCAACAUAGGAAAUUUUGGGGUGACACAAACAUGCAGACCACAGCGCCCCAACAAGACAGGAUUCCACCAUGUUGGCCAAGCUGGUAUCACACUGCUGACCUCAAGUGAUCUGUCUGCCUUGGCCUCCUAAAGUGCUGGGAUUACAGGCGUGAGCCACCGCGCCUGGCCAAGGCAUUGUUAAUUGAGCUUUCAAACAACCCCAUGCCCAUGGGAUAGGUAUUACCUCUGGUUUUUGUAGAAGAGGAAACUGGGACUCAAUGAGCUGGGAUUUGAACAAGUGCCUCCCUGAUUUCACUUACUUGUUCAUAAAUAUUUCUGCAGCACCUAACUGUUUCAGACCCCAUCCUAGGUACUAGGAUACAGAGAUGACCCACAGAGGGUCUUGUCCUCCUGGAGCUCACAUCUAAUGGGGUCAUCAUGUCUGAGCAGACAACUGUGGUAUGGGACUGUCUGUCUGCCCACCUACUGCAAGGCAGCUCCUCAAAGGAAUCUGCAUCUGAUCCACUCUGGGUGACAGCCCAGCACAGCUGAAAUCAGCGGAUGUUUGUU